Misgurnus anguillicaudatus (oriental weatherfish) is the source of this 1293-nucleotide long non-coding RNA. RefSeq lists it as uncharacterized. The record is from RefSeq and is a predicted model, not a curated record. NCBI's taxonomy places the organism in Eukaryota, Metazoa, Chordata, Actinopteri, Cypriniformes, Cobitidae.
AAGAAGGCAAAAGGUUUUUUGAGAUGUCUUACCUUAUUUGUCUAAAAUAUCAUGAUAUAUUUAAGAAUUUUGAGAUAAGAUUUUUUGGAUGUCAUUAGUGUUACUCUUUUUUUUAUAGCUGGGAGUGUUAAGAUCUUUACAUAAAAAUACAUUAUACUGAAUAAGUAUGUGAUUGUUACAUCUCUGAUAAAAUAGCACAUGGCUAAUGGCAGCCAUUUUGUUAAAAUGUUAGUUUUUUUCUGUAAAUUGUCAUUGGUGUUACCGAUCUAGAUUAUUUCUGCACUGCCGAUGCUGUACAGAUGGGCAGAGUGUGCUGGUGGUUUUAUUUCUCCAAAGUAAUUGAACUUAGUGAUACACAUUCUUUAUUGGCCACAUUAACACAUUUGUUCAUGUGGUUAUAUACGCUCUGGCUGCAUUGGGACCCCAAAUGCAGAAAUUCUUGGGGUGAAAACGCUAUCUCACUACUCUCCAAUUGUUAAGUCUAAUCUAUUGUGUAAAUCAGUGCUCUUCAACCUUCAGUCUGAGGACCCUUUGGUGAAUAGAGACCUGGAAUCACAUAGCUGCAGUUCUUUAUUGUGACCAUUCACACUGCGAUCAACCUCAUUGCUCAUUGCUGACUGUGACUUUCCCGACUCCUACUCCUUCAGUCUUAUCGCUUUGUUUAGUAACUUUUAUUAUCAAAGCUACGUCACCAAGAAGCCCAAGAGAACAUGAUAACCAUGGACAUAGUACAUACACAAUUGUACAAAAUAUAGAUUUUUAAAUGUGGUGGUCCCAAUGAUUGUUUAUCAUCUUUUUUUUUUAUCUCUGGACCAUUUGUCUGUAUAUUCUCCCCUCCUCCUAACAAACGAUUGUUCAUACAAUCUCCCCUCCCCCAUUGGUCAUUAGGGAUUGAGACCCUGCAAUGCUCUAGUGAUCUGGCCAAAUUGAAAUAAACCCGAGUCCACCUUCUGCUCCCCACUCACUUAUUUAUCUAAUCUCUCAGUGUGACACUUCAUUUGUUUUACCACUCAUUGGAUCAGGUCAACCAAUCACAGCGCAGCUGGGGGAGGGUCUUAUUUAGGGCUCUGCCUUUAGUACAGCUGUCCUCUAUUUAAUACACGUUAGCUUGAACAAAUAAACAUUUUUUAUUUAUUUAUUCAUUGUUUAAGCAUCCUUUUACUUUGUAUUUAAUAAAUACACAUGGUUAAACAAAGGUAUUUCUUUGACUAGUUGGGUGUUUGUGAUAUAAAAUAAACACAAUGUGGACACUGAGUAAUUAUUUGGGUGAAUUUGAAUGACAUUUGCUUAACU